Oreochromis aureus is the source of this 2473-nucleotide long non-coding RNA. The record is from Ensembl. Lineage: Eukaryota; Metazoa; Chordata; Actinopteri; Cichliformes; Cichlidae.
GGAAAUUUGCACUUUUGCACAAGCACGAGCAGCAGCAGCAGGCUGGGGAUGAAGUGAUUCACAGCAUGGAGAAGGGGGAGGGAGGGUAGGGCAGAGGAGUUUGACACUUCUGCAUCAUUUCCUUUCACAUGAGGUUUGCUGUUGUUGGUGCCUUGAUCUGAUUUGUGUCGUCUGUCUGCCUUCUCACUUACCUUCUGGUGGCACGUUGAUACUGUGAUGGAUCUGAGGGCUCUUGUGAUCAUCUCGGCGCUCGCUCUUGUGACUAAUGGAAAUACCCAAACUCCAGAUUAUAACCAAACUGAAAACUACACUGUCAGCUCCAUUUCCCUGACUAGCAGUCCUGCGACAACUGCCACCACCUCUAAAAGUACAAACUUCGUGGAUAACUUCACUUCUUCAACCAAAUGUAAAGCUGAGAAGGACGCGACACAGCUGAAGACCUACAAAGUGAUGACAGCGUUGCUCUUCUGCAUAUUGCUCAUCCUUUUCCUGAUGCGCUUCACCAGACCUACUGUAAAAGCCCUGCAGAAGAGAUUGUCAGACAGGAGGCAGAAUCGUUGGAUAGGACCUACACAGAGUCACAGCGUGUCUUAUCAUCGAGGGAAAACUGCAGUUAAAAAUAAUGAUGGAGAUAAGAGACACUCCUACCCUGCUCUGGAUCGUUUGGUAAUCUCUGACAGCAGAGAGCCUUCAUCCAAUAGGAACAGUGACUACAACCUCUGACUUGCAUCUUACUCCAUCAUCUUCCUCCAUCAUCUUCCUCCGUCAUAAUCAACAUCAAUGUCAUCAUUGUCUUAUGUGAGCUGGAAAUGUAGUAUGUUUUCAUUUGUAGCUAUAUUUCACCUAUUUUGUGAGUCUAUCAAGAAGUCACAAAUUUAGGUUCAAAGUUAUGUAAAAGUGAGUUUCAUUGUGGCCUCACCACUGUGAGAGAUCCACUGUGAGAGAACAAAAACGUUGCACAGGGUCUCAUCCUUGCCUUACAGAGUGCAGCUACAACACCAACCCAUAAACUGUAGAGCACACACACACACACACACACACACACACGCUCACACACACACACACACACACACACACACACACACACACACACACACACACACACACACAAUAUUCAUGAAUGACUGUACAGCACACAAUUUUGUAGUAGAUAAAAUCCAAAUCAAUUCACCCAGUUCUUGUUUUGAAAGUCAUGUCAGAGUAUGCUGUGCAAUCAUUCCACCCUGGAAAAGAACAAAGAAGUCAUUAAAAGGAGCUUCAUCAAAUCAGACAUCUGUUUAUAGUUUGCUUUGCUGGAAUUUAGCUUUACGUGCCAGUCGUGUAAAGUUUAUAUCAAUAAAACAUACAGGAUGUACCACACGGCUGUGCGUCUACACACACCUAGAUUUCCAAGUUUACAUUAAUGUAGUUGAGUUUUUUCUCAAUCACACAGCUAUAAAAUCACAUCUAUUCCAAAAUAGUCAUAUAUAACCUUAGUUCAAAGCUCCCCAUGUUUCUGUGUGUCUGAAUGUAACUAUGUUUCUGUGAGCUGUGUCCAAAUGACUCUCGACACUGAAACAGAUGGCGUUACACAUUUAUACAUGUUGUACAAAGCCUGUAACUUAACCAUAAAUAAAUAUAAGACAGAGACAGGACCAUUUAAAUCAUUUCUACAUCUCUGACAUGUGAGUUGUCGCCCUCAUCGUCUCAAACUUUAACCGAAUCCUUUGUCCUGUUUUGCAGAGCCUUAUCUCCAUCACAGUCCAUUUAGUUUUAGUUCAGUUUAAUCCACUUAAUCUAUUAAUAUCUCAAACACAUAAACAUUUUUAAUUAAGGGUCUCUACCUUACAAUGUAAAGCACCUUAAGACAACCUCUGUGUUUAAAUAUAACUGAAUUGAAUAAAGUUUUGAAUUGCAUCACAUUUUGACGUGUUCAUAAACAACAAAUAAAAUUCAACCUGUCUUCUCCUGGGCUUAGUCAGGCUCACGUCACUCAAUGAUUCAGAAGAAUCCACUAAGCAAUUAGAAAUGUCUAAAGUUGUUUUUUGUUUUUUUAUUUAUUGUUUAAUAUGAAAGUUAGUCAUCAAGAAGGAUGGAAAACAGAAAAUGCUAUUUUAAGCAAGCACUCCAGUUUUUUAAAUGGUAACUUCCAGAUAAAUGUUUUUCUUUCUGUGCUUUAUUCUAUUAAAUGUUGUGUCUGUUCGAGUAUAACUUUAGUGUUAGUGCAGUUAGUGGCCUCAGCGGCUUCACAGUACUUUUCACUUAUUGAAUACUUUUUACUUUGCUUGCUUACAAGUUUCACAACUUGAACUCUUUGUGUAUGAAUAACCAAUGAUGAUCCUGAGAACUGCAGGAACAAUCUUCAACAUGUUGUAAAUAUUCUCCUCAUCAAAAGAUUUUCAGAAGAAGAACAAUUGGAGUGUAACAUGGUAAUAUAGUACUGUUUGUAAUACUAAGUGCAACUUUUUGUCAUAAGUAAAAUGAUUCAACCAAG